GAUGAAGAACGUAGCGAAAUGCGAUAAGGAAUGCGAAUUGCAGAAUUCAGUGAGUCAUCGAAUCUUUGAACGCACAUUGCGCCCUGUGGUAUUCCGCAGGGCAUGCCUGUUCGAGCGUCAUUUCAACCCUCAAGCUCUGCUUGGUGUUGGGCCCUGCCCGCUGCGGCCGGCCCUAAAGACAGUGGCGGUGCCGCCUGGCCCUGAGCGUAGUACAUCUCUCGCUCCAGUGCCCGGUGGUAGCCUGCCAGAACCCCAACUCUCGUGGUUGACCUCGGAUCAGGUAGGGAUACCCGCUGAAAUUAAGCAUAUCAAUAAGCGGAGGA
RNAcentral lists this unclassified non-coding RNA (323 nucleotides) under soil metagenome. RNAcentral describes it as "partial contains 5.8S ribosomal RNA, internal transcribed spacer 2, and large subunit ribosomal RNA". The stretch from base 1 to 120 matches the Rfam family "5.8S ribosomal RNA", at positions 35 to 154 of the family's 154-position model. The record is from RNAcentral.